This 1029-nucleotide ribosomal RNA is filed under the name Salmonella enterica subsp. enterica serovar Enteritidis. Its description in RNAcentral is "partial 23S ribosomal RNA". It matches the Rfam family "Bacterial large subunit ribosomal RNA", at positions 154 to 1224 of the family's 2925-position model. Lineage: Bacteria; Pseudomonadati; Pseudomonadota; Gammaproteobacteria; Enterobacterales; Enterobacteriaceae. The record is from RNAcentral.
UUAACUGAAUCCAUAGGUUAAUGAGGCGAACCGGGGGAACUGAAACAUCUAAGUACCCCGAGGAAAAGAAAUCAACCGAGAUUCCCCCAGUAGCGGCGAGCGAACGGGGAGGAGCCCAGAGCCUGAAUCAGCAUGUGUGUUAGUGGAAGCGUCUGGAAAGGCGCGCGAUACAGGGUGACAGCCCCGUACACAAAAGCGCAUGUGCUGUGAGCUCGAUGAGUAGGGCGGGACACGUGGUAUCCUGUCUGAAUAUGGGGGGACCAUCCUCCAAGGCUAAAUACUCCUGACUGACCGAUAGUGAACCAGUACCGUGAGGGAAAGGCGAAAAGAACCCCGGCGAGGGGAGUGAAAAAGAACCUGAAACCGUGUACGUACAAGCAGUGGGAGCACCCUUUGGGUGUGACUGCGUACCUUUUGUAUAAUGGGUCAGCGACUUAUAUUCUGUAGCAAGGUUAACCGAAUAGGGGAGCCGGAGGGAAACCGAGUCUUAACCGGGCGUUAAGUUGCAGGGUAUAGACCCGAAACCCGGUGAUCUAGCCAUGGGCAGGUUGAAGGUUGGGUAACACUAACUGGAGGACCGAACCGACUAAUGUUGAAAAAUUAGCGGAUGACCUGUGGCUGGGGGUGAAAGGCCAAUCAAACCGGGAGAUAGCUGGUUCUCCCCGAAAGCUAUUUAGGUAGCGCCUCGUGAAUUCAUCUCCGGGGGUAGAGCACUGUUUCGGCUAGGGGGCCAUCCCGGCUUACCAACCCGAUGCAAACUGCGAAUACCGGAGAAUGUUAUCACGGGAGACACACGGCGGGUGCUAACGUCCGUCGUGAAGAGGGAAACAACCCAGACCGCCAGCUAAGGUCCCAAAGUCAUGGUUAAGUGGGAAACGAUGUGGGAAGGCCCAGACAGCCAGGAUGUUGGCUUAGAAGCAGCCAUCAUUUAAAGAAAGCGUAAUAGCUCACUGGUCGAGUCGGCCUGCGCGGAAGAUGUAACGGGGCUAAACCAUGCACCGAAGCUGCGGCAGCGACACUGUGUGUUGU